UGGGGGAUAUUGCACAAUGGGCGCAAGCCUGAUGCAGCGACGCCGCGUGGGGGAUGAAGGCCUUCGGGUUGUAAACUUCUUUUGCUCUGAACAAGGCGCACUUUGGGGUGUGUUGAGUGUAGGGGUUGAUUAGCGCCGGCUAACUACGUGCCAGCAGCCGCGGUAAUACGUUGGGCGCGAGCGUUGUCCGGAAUUAUUGGGCGUAAAGGGCUUGUAGGUGGCUGGUUGCGUCUGUCGUGAAAGCUCAUGGCUUAACUGUGGGUUUGCGGUGGGUACGGGCUGGCUUGAGUGCAGUAGGGGAGGCUGGAAUUCCUGGUGUAGCGGUGGAAUGCGCAGAUAUCAGGAGGAAUACCGGUGGCGAAGGCGGGUCUCUGGGCUGUUACUGACACUGAGGAGCGAAAGCAUGGGGAGCGAACAGG
This 419-nucleotide ribosomal RNA is filed under the name bacterium. Its description in RNAcentral is "partial 16S ribosomal RNA". It matches the Rfam family "Bacterial small subunit ribosomal RNA", at positions 355 to 776 of the family's 1533-position model. The record is from RNAcentral.